RNAcentral lists this long non-coding RNA (3502 nucleotides) under Salmo salar (Atlantic salmon). RNAcentral's name for it is "lncRNA (ENSSSAG00000085358.1, ENSSSAG00000114483.1)". The record is from RNAcentral. Lineage: Eukaryota; Metazoa; Chordata; Actinopteri; Salmoniformes; Salmonidae.
GACGCACACACACAAACACACACCUCCAUCAGACACACACACACAAACACACACCUCCAUCAGACGCACACACACAAACACACACCUCCAUCAGACACACACACACAAACACACACCUCCAUCAGACACACACACACACACAAACCUCCAUCAGACACACACACACAAACACACACCUCCAUCAGACACACACACACACAAACCUCCAUCAGACACACACACACAAACACACACCUCCAUCAGACACACACACACACACACAAACACACACCUCCAUCAGACGCACACACACAAACACACACCUCCAUCAGACACACACACACAAACACACACCUCCAUCAGACACACACACACACACAAACCUCCAUCAGACACACACACACAAACACACACCUCCAUCAGACACACACACACACGUCUCCAUCAGACACACACACACAAACACACACCUCCAUCAGACACACACACACACACACACACAAUGGACUGAGGGUCUUGGGCCCAUGCAACCAUGAACUAUGUGUGAUGAGUUCUCAUCUCACAUCUCUAUAUUCUGGGCCUCUGGUGGUCUCUAUUGGUCACUGUAUGUAAUUACAUUUCUAUUCAACCUCAGGUACGAGGCUGGAAUUGAUUCAUUCAAUAUAUUUGAAAGAAAACUGAUAUUAUUUCAAUUAAAGUCUGCAUUGAACCAUCCUAUUGCAGCUGCUGCUACUGUAUAUUAUAAACAUUUCUGGUUUUUGUUGAUCUGUUUAUGCUUGACUAACCGACAGUCAGGGGCCAAGACUCUAAAGCAAAACCUUUCUCCCCUCUAAGCCAAAGUGGAAUUAUUUUCUUACUGGUGGUGAUGGCAGAAUUCCCAGUACAGAAUUCGGGCCUCUGAGCUCCGAUACCGCUCCUGAAUCCCAUACCCGGCAAGGCAUCAUCGCUUUCCUGGUGGUCACAGUGGAGGACACCCCUUCUAGGUCAAGUCAAGUCAAGUCAGACACACACACACACACACACACACACACACACACACACACACACACACACACACACACACACACACACACACACACACACACACACACACACACACACACACACACACACACACACACACACACACAGCCUCAUAGGUUCAUACACACACACAGCCUCAUAGGUUCAUACACACACACAGCCUCAUAGGUUCACACAGUGUAAGUAAGCUACUCCCCGAGCCCAGAUAGGAUUUAGUUAUUAAAAAUGAGUAGUACUACUGUUGAGUAAAAGUUAGACAGUGUUAAUGUGACUACUGACUAAGGCUUCUCAUACUGAACUUGAAGGAUCCCUCACACAGAGGACAAAACAGAAAAGAUGUCCGAUAAAACUGCAGUUCCUCACAAUAAAAUGACAGCUCUUAAGAUUGUUAAAAUAGAAUGAAGACCAGCUCUAUAUAUGACAUUAAAACAAAAUGUUUUGAGCUGAUUGGAACUCUGGAUCCAAUUCAUUAAGACAGGCCUUUGAAGGCGUUAGAAAAGUCCCCUUUAUCAAUAUGUUCUCUGGGCUGGCUCAGUCCAGUCCAACCUGCAUUGAGUAAUAUGUGGAUUCAAGCUUCAGGUAGAUAGCUGUGAGGAAAGGCUCUCUUUUCUUUCUCUGACUCCCCAGUAAACAUGAACCCAUUGGCCCCAUGUGGGUAUUCGGUGGGCAAGGUGGGCUAGCCCACACCAACCCCACACCAACCCAACACAGGCUAGCCCACACCAACCCCACACCAACCCAACACAGGCUAGCCCACACCAACCCCACACCAACCCAACACAGGCUAGCCCACACCAACCCCACACCAACCCAACACAGGCUAGCCCACACCAACCCCACACAGGCUAGCCCACACCAACCCCACACCAAUCCAACACAGGCUAGCCCACACCACACCAACCCCACACCAACCCAACACAGGCUAGCCCACACCAACCCCACACAGGCUAGCACACACCAACCCCAAACCAAUCCAACACAGGCUAGCCCACACCAACCCCACACCAACCCAACACAGGCUAGCCCACACCAACCCCACACCAACCCCACACCAACCCCACACAGGCUAGCACACACCAACCCCAAACCAAUCCAACACAGGCUAGCCCACACCAACCCCACACCAACCCAACACAGGCUAGCCCACACCAACCCCACACAGGCUAGCCCACACCAACCCCAAACCAAUCCAACACAGGCUAGCCCACACCAACCCCACACCAACCCAACACAGGCUAGCCCACACCAACCCCACACCAACCCAACACAGGCUAGCCCACACCAACCCAACACAGGGUAGUCUACAUCAACACAACACAGGCCAGCCCACACCAACCCAACACAGGCUAGCCCACACCAAUCCCACACCAACCCAACACAGGCUAGCCCACACCAACCCAACACAGGCUAGCCCACACCAACACAACACUGGCCAGGCCACACCAACACAGGCCAGCCCACACCAACCCAACACAGGCUAGCCCACACCAAUCCCACACCAACCCAACACAGGCUAGCCCACACCAACCCAACACAGGCUAGCCCACACCAACCCAACACAGGCUAGCCCACACCAACACAACACUGGCCAGGCCACACCAACACAGGCUUGCCCACACCAACACAACACAGGCUUGCCCACACCAUCCCAACACAGGGUAGCCCACACCAACACAACACGGCAAGGUCACACCAACCCAACACAGGGUAGCCCACACCAACCCAACACAGGGUAGCCCACACCAACACAACACGGGCAAGGUCACACCAACACAACACGGGCAAGGUCACACCAACACAACACGGGCAAGGUCACACAAACACAACACGGGCAAGGUCACACCAACACAACACGGGCAAGGUCACACCAACACAACACGGGCAAGGUCACACCAACACAACACGGGCAAGGUCACACCAACACAACACGGGCAAGGUCACACCAAGCCCAGCUAGAGGCGGGGGCUCAUUAGAAUAUUUGGGGGCGUGGUUUACACACAGUUGUUUUUGUGCAGCCGUUACUGAGAGUGUGGUUCCUGUUGAAGUGUGGUUCCUGUUGAAGUGUGGUUCCUGUUGAAGUGUGGUUCCUGUUGAAGUGUUCUGUGUUGUGCUGCCUAUAUCCUGAUGAUCUUGUAAACGGCUAAUGAUCAAGUCUUUAGAAACACUUAUAUAAAUGUUUCUCUUGUUAAAUAUAUUCUGUAUGUAUGAUGGUAAUAACUUGGUUGUCUUUCUGAAAAAAUUGUAUCACGUUCCAUAAAUACCUGUAAGAGUAGAAAAUUAUGCAAUUUAUGCAUUGAAUUAAGUUUAAAUAAAUAAAUAUUAAAUAGCGAAGGCGCAUCAGCCCAAUGUGGGCAGCUUACAAGGGGUCAAUAUUUUAGCCUGCAUUGGGUUCAAAUCGUGACAAUUUGGACAUGUUUGCUGGGAAAAGAAGGGUGUAUUUCAGACAAAGUGACAGCUGCCUCACCAGAUCUGGGCUGCCCACACUGAGCCACACUGGGCA